CACAACUAGCUUCCUAAUAAACAAUUCCAAGCCAGUUUAAGGUCCUCAAGAAUACCAUGUAGCUCAACCUCCACGAGGUCUAUAAAGCUUGGCAUACAAUGGAAGUCUUAUACUCAUUGACCACGAUUAUCUCGAAAGUACUCCUAGUUGUCACAAGACCAAAGUUACCACGCACUGAAUCAUUAGUGUUAAGCUCAUGUCAUCUUUCGUGGAGAACUUUCCGAUUCACCCACAUAAGUUGAACGAAUCUAUUAUAGUUGACACG
RNAcentral lists this long non-coding RNA (265 nucleotides) under Carica papaya (papaya). Its description in RNAcentral is "long non-coding RNA (CPAP_LNC007365)". The record is from RNAcentral. Lineage: Eukaryota; Viridiplantae; Streptophyta; Magnoliopsida; Brassicales; Caricaceae.